CAUUGCUGGUUGAGAGCAGCACGGCCUAACAAGAGACCACCACAAGCUGUAUUCCUGUGUAAGGAAGGAGAGACUGCGUUGAGAAUGUGGCAAGCUACUGCUUCUACCAUACAGCUUGGAUGGACUUGCUGUAGUUCCUGGUGCCCCCACAGAAUAAAAAUGGAAAAGUUGCAAUGUCCCUCAUAUCUCAGAGACAGACUGUAUGACAUGAGGCUGACAAAGUCCCUCUUCAAUGUUGGAUUGGUGCUCUAUCUUUCAGACAUCUAUCCAAUAUAUUAAACCAGAGUCAUCCAUAUAGUAACCAUCAUUCUGGGGAUGGAAGAAGUUAUG
Passer domesticus (house sparrow) is the source of this 330-nucleotide long non-coding RNA. RefSeq lists it as uncharacterized. NCBI's taxonomy places the organism in Eukaryota, Metazoa, Chordata, Aves, Passeriformes, Passeridae. The record is from RefSeq and is a predicted model, not a curated record. The transcript is spliced from 3 exons.